UCUCCGUAGGUGAACCUGCGGAGGGAUCAUUACAAGAGCGAGGGCCCUCGUGGCCCGAACCUCCAACCCCAUGUUAUCCGACACUGUUGCCUCCGGGGCGACCCGGCCUUCGGGCGUCGGGGCCCCGGGUGGACCAUUCAAACACUGCAUCUUUGCGUCUGAGUACACGAUUGAAUCAAUCAAAACUUUCAACAACGGAUCUCUUGGUUCUGGCAUCGAUGAAGAACGCAGC
This 232-nucleotide unclassified non-coding RNA is filed under the name uncultured fungus. RNAcentral describes it as "sequence contains ITS1, 5.8S rRNA gene". The stretch from base 184 to 232 matches the Rfam family "5.8S ribosomal RNA", at positions 1 to 49 of the family's 154-position model. The record is from RNAcentral. Lineage: Eukaryota; Fungi.